UUCUUGGUGGUCUGUUGGCUAAGGAUCCUGCGCUUUCACCGCCAUGGCCUGAGUUCGAUUCCCAGGCAGGGAA
Molecule: non-coding RNA, 73 nt
Organism: Pangasianodon gigas (Mekong giant catfish)
Lineage: Eukaryota; Metazoa; Chordata; Actinopteri; Siluriformes; Pangasiidae
Source: the annotation of a GenBank genome assembly